RNAcentral lists this long non-coding RNA (939 nucleotides) under Mytilus galloprovincialis (Mediterranean mussel). The record is from RNAcentral. Lineage: Eukaryota; Metazoa; Mollusca; Bivalvia; Mytilida; Mytilidae.
CGAAGUAAUUGUUUGGCUGCCACAUUGUUUGUUUUUCUAUAUGGACAAACAGUAAAAGGUAAGUAGUUUGUGAUUAGUUUUAACAAUUUUGUGACUUUCUUUCAAAUUCACUUUAUACAUUGUAGGGGACAUGUGCACAGAAAUAGGUCACUUUCAGGGCGUGUACCGUCGUCUAAAGUGCCGAUCGUUAAGCCAAAACGAUGUGUACGGCAAGAUUCAAGAUUUAUAAAUUAUAUUUUAGAGUUCGAGUUUAAAUGAUCGAGUGACAAAUAACGCAUAUUUUGUGCAUUCUAUGUUGCAAUGAUAAAAAAAACCAAUACAUGUGAGAGGAGAAAUACAAUGUAGCUAUUUGAAUAAGCAUUUAACAUGUUUAUCUAAUGGAAAUCAAAUUUAUAAAACAUUUUUCUUUUUCAAUUUCAGUUUCAAAUCUAGCCAACACGGCAACAGAUUUCUACAGGCCAUGGGAAUAAAAAUAUCACAGAACUGUUGGAUCAGCUCUCAUAGUACCAGCUUUCUUCUGAUGAACUACCCAGUUUUAACCAGGCAAUAGCAAUGGGAGCAAUGGCAGAAAUAAUAGAUGACAUUUUACAUUGCUCAAAAAAAACAUGACAUUCUUUCAAAUCUUGAUGAAGCUAAUUCAGUCAAAUAUCAAUUCCUACUGUGGGAGAGCCUUUUCAAUUAUAAAGAAAUUGACACUGAAUUCGGAUGAGAACUUGACUAUGCUACAUUUGUAUUGUGUGCUGUUAUCAAAUAAAUGUAACUAAACUUGAAACUGGCAGUUGUUUUGAAUAUGUGCCUAGUGGUGGUGCUUUAAAAGCAACAUUACAGACCACUGUUUAAUAAAAUAAAAGUUCACAGUAGAAUAUAUAUAUUGUUUUUUUAUAUUCACAACUUUGUAUGAAAUUACGAACAUUACCACAUUCAUAUUAACAAGUCUGC